GCCAAAUGGAGCAACGCACGCCACUGGCUGCUCGUGAGAUUAUCCGCCAUGGCCAAUGGAUUCUGCUCCUCCCGUGUCGCUUUCUUCUCUCUCAUGCAAUCAAUAGUUGUUGCCGCUUCUCUGCUUCUCCGCUCUGGUUUCACCGCCUUUUCAACUACCAUCUGCGGCGGCACAACUGCCCCGCCCGCCUUGGUGCGUCACGCCCAUCCGGAAUCUGCUUUAAAGGCGUCCGAUUCAGCAAUCGAGAGUUUGUCGAUUCGCCAUUUUCUUUGCUGGUAAAUGCGUGGAUCCGACGAAAGGAUGUGUUUGUGUGGUUGAUUCGUCCAUAUUGAUAGCGUUGCUGUUUCUGAUUCGGAUUGCAUCGCUUUUCCAGCAACAAGCUUCGUCCGCACGGCUGUUUCGCUUUGGUGCGGCAUGCCCUUCGCAUGUCCAAGGUGGAUUGCUAUGAUACAACAGCUUACUUACAUGAUUUUGGAUGCAUGAAAUUGUGAGCCAGCGCAACAUUUACAGCGUACAUUUUAGGUUGGUCGAUGUCUGCAAUAGCUGUUACUGGACUAAGCACAGGGAAGAGGUUUCUGAUAUCUUCAUUCUGCCCGACUGAGUUUGCUGGAAAGUUUUAUCCAAUUGCAGACUACAGUUCCCUGCCAUUUACCGCUUCCUGCACAAGGUGCACCAUAGUAGCACAGGAUUCAUCGCACUUUGAGCGUAAUGUACCACCAAACAGAAACCAACAUGUUAUCAAGGCACUUAAAAAACGUGCCAGUACUUUGGCACCUUCAACUAGUAAUUCAUGGUAUGAAAGGCCUGAUUUUGAAUCAUCUCUGGAGGUCGUCAUAUUGCUACAGAAGUCUAAGUUGGAGAAGCAGUGGGAACUGGAACUGGCUACUGUUUCUGCUCCUGAGAAAAGCCAGCAGAUGCCUUUGAUUGUUCGUUCAGGGAUAUCCGCUCGUGAGAGGAGAACAUUUUCCAGGAGAAAAUAUAUUGGGUAUAAUGCUUCCGAGGUUCCUGCAAGAAGAGUUAAACAACCUCAUCUGAGUGUUAGUUCUGAGUUACUUAAAUCUAACAGGAGUGGUUAUGUGAGGGGUACAAUUAGCGAGACCUUCCUGACACAUGCAGAGGUGGUUAGUUUGUCGACAAAAAUAGAAGCUGGUAUUCAGAUGGAAGAGCACAGGUUAAAAUUGAAGGAAAAAUUGAGAUCUGAACCAUCCGACAAACAGCUGGCUUCUUCAUUGAGGAUGUCAUGUGCUGAAUUGCACAGAAAAAUGAUUGAGUGUUCUUUGGCAACUGAAAAGCUUGCAAUGAGCAAUCUUCGACUAGUAAUGUCUGUUGCACAAAAGUAUGAUAACCUGGGUGUUGAUAUGGCCGACCUUAUUCAGGGUGGCUUGAUUGGACUACUUCGUGGAAUACAAAAGUUCGAUUCUUCCAAGGGCUUCAGAAUUUCUACUUAUGUAUAUUGGUGGAUACGGCAGGGUGUCUCACGAGCAUUGAUUAAGAACUCUAGGACAUUAAGACUACCUGCUCAUUUGCAUGAAAGACUAAUUUCCAUUAGGCAGGCCAAGGUUAAACUGGAGGACCAAGGAAUUACACCAUCAAUUAUGAAACUUGCAGAGUCCCUGAAUAUGUCACAGAAAAAAGUGAGAAAUGCCACACAGGCUGAGAUUAAAGUACUUUCUCUAGAUAGGGAAGCCUUCCCAUACUCGAAUGGCCUUCCUGGUGAGACCCUCCACGAUUAUAUUGCAGAUAGUAAAGUCGAAAAUACUCCCUGGCAUGUUUUUGAGGAAUGGUCACUCAAGGAUGAAGUCACCCAGCUUUUGUACACCAUACUCAGCAAGAGGGACAGAAAUAUCAUCAAACUAUAUCAUGGUAUCGAUAACAACUGCCAUACAUGGGAGGAUAUUGGCAAACAGUUAGGUUUGUCGAGAGAACGAGUAAGGAAGUUAGGGCUUGAAGCCAUGGAGAAACUGAAGCAUGCAGCAAGGAGUAGAAGAUUGGGGUCAUUGUUCAUCAAACAAUGAGGCCACGGAAUCGUUUCAACACUUCACACUAGCUUUCGUUGUGUGUGAAAGAAAGGGAGGAAUUUUAUUCUUCAGCAGAGAUUACUCAUAAAAGGAACACACCAGGUAUGCCCUCAACCUUCAUUGAUUUGGUGGAUGAGUUUGAACACGUGAACAUCGAGUUGCAAAUAUCAACCACAAAGCUGCCAUUAUUGCUCUGUACACUGAUGCCAUGGUUUAUCUGUUUCCCUCCACCAUUAUCCUGCAGUCCAUGACUCUAGCCAGAAAAAGGUUAGCAGGAAAGAAAGAGAGGAUGGUU
RNA transcript from Zingiber officinale, 2313 nucleotides. It is a transcript of the gene named RNA polymerase sigma factor sigA-like, with no coding region annotated. The record is from RefSeq and is a predicted model, not a curated record. The transcript is spliced from 11 exons. Lineage: Eukaryota; Viridiplantae; Streptophyta; Magnoliopsida; Zingiberales; Zingiberaceae.